Molecule: ribosomal RNA, 465 nt
Filed under: uncultured Klebsiella sp.
Lineage: Bacteria; Pseudomonadati; Pseudomonadota; Gammaproteobacteria; Enterobacterales; Enterobacteriaceae
Description: bacterial SSU rRNA
Rfam family: Bacterial small subunit ribosomal RNA
Source: RNAcentral
CCUACGGGGGGCAGCAGUGGGGAAUAUUGCACAAUGGGCGCAAGCCUGAUGCAGCCAUGCCGCGUGUGUGAAGAAGGCCUUCGGGUUGUAAAGCACUUUCAGCGGGGAGGAAGGCGGUGAGGUUAAUAACCUCAUCGAUUGACGUUACCCGCAGAAGAAGCACCGGCUAACUCCGUGCCAGCAGCCGCGGUAAUACGGAGGGUGCAAGCGUUAAUCGGAAUUACUGGGCGUAAAGCGCACGCAGGCGGUCUGUCAAGUCGGACGUGAAAUCCCCGGGCUCAACCUGGGAACUGCAUUCGAAACUGGCAGGCUAGAGUCUUGUAGAGGGGGGUAGAAUUCCAGGUGUAGCGGUGAAAUGCGUAGAGAUCGGGAGGAAUACCGGUGGCGAAGGCGGCCCCCUGGACAAAGACUGACGCUCAGGUGCGAAAGCGUGGGGAGCAAACAGGAUUAGAUACCCGAGUAGUC